GGAGCGCAGCUACACAUGCAGUCGAGCGGCGCACAGAGGAACUUGUUCCUUGGGUGGCGAGCGGCCCACGGGUGAGUAAUGCCUGGGAAAUUGCCCGGUAGAGGGGGAUAACCAUUGGAAACGAUGGCUAAUACCGCAUAACCUCGCAAGAGCAAAGCAGGGGACCUUCGGGCCUUGCGCUACCGGAUAUGCCCAGGUGGGAUUAGCUAGUUGGUGAGGUAAGGGCUCACCAAGGCGACGAUCCCUAGCUGGUCUGAGAGGAUGAUCCGCCACCCUGGAACUGAGACACGGUCCAAACUCCUACGGGAGGCAGCAGUGGGGAAUAUUGCACAAUGGGCGCAAGCCUGAUGCACCCUUGCCGCGUGUAUAAAGAAGGCCUCUCCGGUUGUAAAAGUACUUUUCACGAGGAGAGGAAGGGGGUUAAGAUAACACCCUUAAUUAUUUGGACGUUCCCCCACAGAAAAAAGCCACCGGCAUAUUUCCGUGCCAAGCAGCCGCCGGUAUAUACUGGGAGGGGGCAGAGCGUUUAAUACCAAAAUUAUUGGGGGGGUAAAAACCCUAUGCCCGGGGGGGUUUGUUUUAUCUCACAAAGGUGGAAAACCCCCCGCGGGCUUCCCCCCCUAGGAAAUCCCCCUUUUUGAAAACUAAACAAAGUUUAGUAAUUUCCUUUGAUAGAAGGGGGGGGGAAAAAAUUUUACCUGGCUGCUGUGGGGUGGAAAUUUCUCCUUAACAUAUCUCUUAAAAGGAAAAUCCCUGGUCGGGGAGAAAGGGGGCCCCCCUCCCCCAAUAGAUAUAUGAAUCCCCCUCACAGACACAAAAGCGGGGGGGGGAGGGAAAAAAGGAAAUAUAAAUCCCCUGGUGUACCUCCGCACCCCUACAAAACAAUAAUUUUAUUUGGAAGGGUGGGAGCCC
Molecule: ribosomal RNA, 912 nt
Filed under: Vibrio cholerae
Lineage: Bacteria; Pseudomonadati; Pseudomonadota; Gammaproteobacteria; Vibrionales; Vibrionaceae
Description: partial 16S ribosomal RNA
Rfam family: Bacterial small subunit ribosomal RNA (bases 4-520)
Source: RNAcentral